This is a long non-coding RNA of Ictalurus punctatus (channel catfish), 2445 nucleotides long. NCBI's taxonomy places the organism in Eukaryota, Metazoa, Chordata, Actinopteri, Siluriformes, Ictaluridae. The record is from Ensembl.
GAGAGAGAGAGAGUGAGAGAGAGAGAGAGAGAGAGGGAGAGAGAGGGAGAGAGAGAGAGAGUGAGAGAGAGACAGACAGGCAGACGGAGAGAGAGAGAGACAGACAGGCAGAGAGAGAGAAUAUGCAAUAACAUUUCUAGCCUGUUAAUACACCCUACCAGCUUGUUCAGAAAGCUCUCGGAAGCGAGCUCAUCUCUUCCGCCGUUACAUUAGUUGCUCAAUUCCCCGUGAGGCAGCGCGUAUGAGGUCGCUUCGCUGGAUACACCAUUACUCAUAUACCAGCAUGACGUUUUCUGUCGCUGCUCAUAACUCCCUGACGUCAGUGCUAAUUUAACACACUCUGUGCCUCAAUGUCAGUUUAAAAUACACACCGCUAGAACCAAAAGAACCAAACAGAGGAGGAGCCCCCCCGGCGUCCUGCCGAAAUCCCCCGUUGACCCUUAUCCAUCACGGCCCCCUAAUAAUCCCCAUCCCUGAACUGGCUACAUCACUCUCUCCUCUCCACUAAUAGCCGGUGUGGUGGGCGUCCUGGCGCGCUAUGGCUGCCGUCACAUCAUCCAGGUGGAUGCUACACACUGGUGGUGGUUGAGUAGACCCCCCCCCCCCCCCCUUCCCCAAUCUAAAGCGCUUUGAGUGUCUAGAAAAGCGCUAUAUAAAUGUAAGGAAUUCGAAGAGAUGAGAGGAAAGGAGAGAAAAAAAGCACUUAAUUCGCUCAACCCUGAUCCGCAGGAAGUGAAAUGUUUAAUCUACACAAGUCUGAUGUAUCCUGGGUACUUCCCUUUAAAAAAAAAUUCAUUCGGUCAUUGAUUGAUUGAUUGAUUGAUUGGUGGUGAUACAGUGGUGCACAGCUAUGGUCUCAGAUCUGAUCUCAGGUCAGGUCUUUCUAUAUGGAGCACGUUCUCCACGUGUCCUCCAGGUUCUCGGGUUCCCUCCCAUCUCCCGAAAACAAGCUAAUUAGUGAACUAGCCACAAUAAAUGACCACUAGUCAUUAGUGAAGGCGUAUGCACGAUGCCCCAGCCUCGUCUCAAGUGUUCCUGGGAUUACCUCCAGACCCAGCACAGCCCUGACCGGGAAAACGUGGUGUCUGAAGACAAACAAACGAAUAAAUGCACCGAUUUAUUAUUUAUUUAAUCACAAACUCGGUUACUGUCAAAUGUUUUGGUCCGUUUUUUUUUUGUUGUUUUUUUUUAAACGUACAUAAACUGUUAAGUUACCUUCAAAACGUACGUAUCCGUACGUACUCUACAGGAUACAAUUCCGACUCUGAAGACGAAACGUCGACCCGAAGAUGAACGCGCACGUUCGAACGCGAAACACUGUGCGAGAUGGGAUUUUAAGAUGUUUAGCGAGUGCUAGCACCGAUUCGAAUUGAAAACGUACCGUUGCGCCAAAACAAAAACAAACAAAAAAAAAACACGACACGCGAGACAUCACCGACGCACAACACGGACGUCAUCGGCGUAUUAAAACUCGCUUCUCCGCAGAACGAGUGAGGCGCCGAGUAGAAUGCUAAGUCGCGUCGCGGACGCGCGCUCUCCGUGACGACGCGCUACAGGACACGGAUGACGGGUGACUAAACCAGAAAGGAUUCACGGCACCGUAUCGCGGUCCGUUUUAUCUAUUGUUAUUUAUUGCUUGCGGGGCUUUGAUCACUCAUACCUCAUUUAUUCCGCAUACCUGCUUUCUUUACGUUCCGACGUCCGACGUUCUUAAGAUUCAGAAAAAUCUCCUCGCUCUUUGAAAGCGUGUACUCGCGUUAGAUCAGCGGUAUGAACUUACACACACGAUGACACCGUCUCUCGCCAUUAUCUCUGGAACCGAUACGUCGUCCAACUAAAGUAUUCCACGGUAUUUUACAUUUUAAGGUGAUUUACGGAUGAUGGUUAAGGGUAAGAGGUUUAAACGCUACACUUCCCGCACCUUUCUAGGUAAGACGACACGCACUAAAAAAGGUACCACCCCAGUGACGAAGAACGGUACACUUCAGUAUCCUUUUGUUUUGUAGCGUUUACUUUUCCAUUUUCCUAUAUAUAUAUAUAUUUUAAUUCUGGUUUGGACUAAUAGGUAAAUAAAUAAAUAAAUAAAUAAAUCCUCCUCAGACAGUAGGAUCUUUCAUAUCGGUUCUAACCAGCUUUACUGUUUACUUCUGUCCAGGGACGAUAAGGUACAUCUACAAGAUCAAGGGGGGGGGGGGGGGGGGGGGGGAAGAGUCUGCAUCAUCAGAAAGCAUGCACACAUAUCGACCUCAUCCUAAUCAUCACUGCUUGUUCAAUCUGGUUGUGUCAGGCGGAUCCCGGACAGACGCCAAGACCUCCAAAAGACAGAAAACUCCCAGCAGGGAUUAGAGGAUUAUAACCUAGACAACACUAUCGGGCUGGUGGUAAACAAUCUGUCAAUCUCUCUGUGUGUGUGUGUGUGUGUGUGAGACUUGGGCUUAGGAUUGU